Synchiropus splendidus (mandarinfish) is the source of this 1250-nucleotide long non-coding RNA. RefSeq lists it as uncharacterized. The transcript has 5 exons. Lineage: Eukaryota; Metazoa; Chordata; Actinopteri; Syngnathiformes; Callionymidae. The record is from RefSeq and is a predicted model, not a curated record.
AAGAAGACGGCGAGUUCUCUUUGCGUCGAACACGCCACAGCUCGAGCUAAAGCAAGUGGUUCUGGAGUUGGCGAACAUGCGCCUAUCUACAAUGUCGCGUUUUAUUUAUCAACUUUCGAAACUUCGUUUCAACACGCCACCUCGCGAUUAUAAUGCUGAGCCAAUUUGCGUCUUUAACCGCACGAAUGGGCCAAAAAUGACGAUCAAAACGUGUUGACUCAGUUUACUGGCGGGAAUCCACUGAAGAUGGCCUGAAAUGGUGGCGCUUCCCCACGUGGCUCGAAAAUGGCCUGCGAAAACGAGCUGUUGAGGUGUGACCAUAAUGGUGGCAGAAUUUUAGAAGCGGUGACUAUUGUUCGCCAAAUCCCGCCGACAUGAGUCAGAUUUGAUUUUCAUGGGGGUGCUGAGGAACAUGUCAGUGGAGAAGAGUAGUAGAUGAAUCUCUGUCGGGGCUGUUCAUUUCCAAUGUCCAUAAAGUUCAGUUCUAUAAUCCCCUUGUGUGUUUGGUUAUUUUAAAAUGUCACGUGACCUGCACUGUCCUUCAAAUCCGACUGACCGUUCGUGGUCCUGAGGGUGAAGACUAGUGCGAGACGACUUGAUCUUGUCAUAACUGGGGUUUCUUGGCUUCCUCCCAAGUCUCUCUUUUAAAGCAAGAAACAAGAUUGUUUUCCCAAACUAAAUAAAACCCUGGUGUUCAAGCAAAUGUUUUUUUUAUUUUUUUUAUUGAUCCACUUGAUCAGAUGGGAAACAUUCUGUGACAUUACUGAACACAACAGCAAUGUGGACAUUUUCAUCACUGUGCAACAGAAACGAAAGGCGUCUUGUAGACUGAUGGCACAAGGACGGUUUUUCUUCUUCCAACAGAAUGCAACGGCUCACUGUGGAGGAAUGUUUGUUUUCAAGGCACUUUCUGCCUCAUACGUCACCGACAUCAUAGAACAUAAAAGUAAAGCCGCUGCAUCUUGGCAGGUCACAUUAAGUUUGUGUGUACAGUACAGAAAUGACAAGUCAAAUUAUUAAAACAAGCUGGCAAUAACACCAAAUCAGUCGUUUCACUGCUUCCCAGUUUGAGAGGUCACAAUUCACCCAAGUCCAAAACCUAUUUUGCAUUUGUGUGGUGGUAAAAUUAGGCAUGAAAUCACAUGUAACUGAAAAUCAUUAGGUUAAAAUUGUCUCAAUCUGGGGACAUGAUUGCUGGAGCAGAAUGUUUAAAAUGUUAUCAAAUAUUACAUAAAUAAAAGCCAACGUAU